GAUGAAGAACGCAGCGAAAUGCGAUACGUAAUGUGAAUUGCAGAAUUCAGUGAAUCAUCGAGUCUUUGAACGCACAUUGCGCCCCCUGGUAUUCCGGGGGGCAUGCCUGUCCGAGCGUCAUUGCUGCCCUUCAAGCCCGGCUUGUGUGUUGGGUCGUCGUCCCCCCCGGGGGACGGGCCCGAAAGGCAGCGGCGGCACCGCGUCCGGUCCUCGAGCGUAUGGGGCUUUGUCACCCGCUCGAUUAGGGCCGGCCGGGCGCCAGCCGGCGUCUCCAACCUUCUAUUUUACCAGGUUGACCUCGGAUCAGGUAGGGAUACCCGCUGAACUUAAGCAUAUCAAUAAGCGGAGG
This 349-nucleotide unclassified non-coding RNA is filed under the name soil metagenome. Its description in RNAcentral is "partial contains 5.8S ribosomal RNA, internal transcribed spacer 2, and large subunit ribosomal RNA". The stretch from base 1 to 120 matches the Rfam family "5.8S ribosomal RNA", at positions 35 to 154 of the family's 154-position model. The record is from RNAcentral.